AAGGCAGCAGUGGGGAAUAUUGCACAAUGGGCGCAAGCCUGAUGCAGCCAUGCCGCGUGUAUGAAGAAGGCCUUCGGGUUGUAAAGUACUUUCAGUCGUGAGGAAGGUGUUAAGGUUAAUAACCUUAGCAAUUGACGUUAGCGACAGAAGAAGCACCGGCUAACUCCGUGCCAGCAGCCGCGGUAAUACGGAGGGUGCGAGCGUUAAUCGGAAUUACUGGGCGUAAAGGGCACGCAGGCGGUUAAUUAAGUUGGAUGUGAAAUCCCCGGGCUUAACCUGGGAAUGGCAUUCAAGACUGGUUAGCUAGAGUCUUGUAGAGGGGGUAGAAUUCCAUGUGUAGCGGUGAAAUGCGUAGAGAUGUGGAGGAAUACCGGGUGGCGAAGGCGGCCCCUGGGACAAAGGACUGACGCUCAUGUGCGAAAGCGUGGGGAGCAAACAGGAUUAGAUACC
RNAcentral lists this ribosomal RNA (450 nucleotides) under uncultured bacterium. Its description in RNAcentral is "bacterial SSU rRNA". It matches the Rfam family "Bacterial small subunit ribosomal RNA", at positions 345 to 786 of the family's 1533-position model. The record is from RNAcentral.